AAUGAAGACUCCAGAGUCCUAACCCACCCCCACUCCUAUGUGCAGAGAAAGAGAAAGCUCCCAUUUCCUUCUGGACACAAACGAAAGAGAAAAUUAAAGCGCCGCUGCUUCUUUCUUCGACUCCUAGACGAAGAGGUUCACCAGCUUCAUGUCGUCGCGCUUGAUCAACCUGUUUGAAAUUCGGAGCCUUUGGCGGGUCCUGGGCUUGGACCCGAGAUGGGUUGAGAGCUUGAGGACGGGGGCGAAAUGGGCAGAUGACGGCUUGGGGAAAGAGUGAGAGGGGUAGGGGGUGGCCAUGGACGCCAUUGAAGGAGGUGAGAAAGGAGAGUUGCAGAUCUGAUAAAAAAAUAUUUGACGUUGCUGUGAAAUUUGACAGCAAGGGGGAGAGCUGCUAUUUCUUGUCAUGCCACAUUAAAUUUGACUUUUCGGUUGGAAAACAUUACAACUGUCUUUUUUAUUUUUUACUGUUAUUAUUGAUUUACACA
Malus domestica (apple) is the source of this 485-nucleotide non-coding RNA. The record is from RefSeq and is a predicted model, not a curated record. Lineage: Eukaryota; Viridiplantae; Streptophyta; Magnoliopsida; Rosales; Rosaceae.